Molecule: ribosomal RNA, 492 nt
Filed under: uncultured bacterium
Lineage: Bacteria
Description: partial 16S ribosomal RNA
Rfam family: Bacterial small subunit ribosomal RNA
Source: RNAcentral
AGUGAACGCUGGCGGUAGGCCUAACACAUGCAAGUCGAACGGCAGCACAGUAAGAGCUUGCUCUUACGGGUGGCGAGUGGCGGACGGGUGAGGAAUACAUCGGAAUCUACUUUCUCGUGGGGGAUAACGUAGGGAAACUUACGCUAAUACCGCAUACGACCUACGGGUGAAAGCAGGGGAUCUUCGGACCUUGCGCGAUUGAAUGAGCCGAUGUCGGAUUAGCUAGUUGGCGGGGUAAAGGCCCACCAAGGCGACGAUCCGUAGCUGGUCUGAGAGGAUGAUCAGCCGCACUGGAACUGAGACACGGUCCAGACUCCUACGGGAGGCAGCAGUGGGGAAUAUUGGACAAUGGGCGCAAGCCUGAUCCAGCCAUACCGCGUGGGUGAAGAAGGCCUUCGGGUUGUAAAGCCCUUUUGUUGGGAAAGAAAAGCAGCAGGUUAAUACCCCGCUGUUCCGACGGUACCCAAAGAAUAAGCACCGGCUAACUUCGUG